UAUCCAAAUAAAUGAUAUCACUUUGUGCGAGGAAAACUGCCAAGCUAUUGUUGACACAAGUACUUGGAAAAUAAUUGGACCAGAAACGGAAGUUUCAUUUCGUAAUGACCUUUUUGAAACUAAUUCACAGGGAAAAGUGGACUGCAAUAAAAUUUCUAAAUUGCCUAUAAUCAGGUUUAAUUUGGGUGGUAAGGCGUUCGAUCUUACCGGUAAAGAUUAUAUCAUUCGGCAUCCAAAUGAUGAAAGUAUAUGUGUAUUCGUCUUCUGCAAACACGACCCAACAUAUGACGGUGAAGAAAAAUGAAUUCUGGGCAUGCCAUUUAUUGGCCGUUACUACACUGAAUUUGAUAUGGAGAAAAACCGAGUGGGAUUUGCUUUGGCGAA
Molecule: long non-coding RNA, 384 nt
Organism: Camponotus floridanus (Florida carpenter ant)
Lineage: Eukaryota; Metazoa; Arthropoda; Insecta; Hymenoptera; Formicidae
Exons: 3
Source: RefSeq, a predicted model, not a curated record